RNAcentral lists this long non-coding RNA (989 nucleotides) under Vombatus ursinus (common wombat). RNAcentral describes it as "lncRNA (ENSVURG00010002943.1)". The record is from RNAcentral. Lineage: Eukaryota; Metazoa; Chordata; Mammalia; Diprotodontia; Vombatidae.
GGCUUUUAGCCCCAGAGGAGCCUAGAAGAGGGGGGGGGCAGUCAAAGCAAAAGUCUCCGAGAUGGCUCAUCCCCGGGGACAAAUAAAUUAAUGCUGUAGAUGCUUAAAUAAAAUUUUAAAUAUUUUCUUUCAUCUAUUUACAGUACUUUCUUCUUUAGAUUUAUGGCUAGAGCUAUUUUUUGGCAUCACAAUUAGACAAGACAGCAUGAGGGAUUUUUUUUCCCUGUUUGCUGUUUUGAGCUCCCCAUUUUCAGGUUGGCAAAGUGUCCAGGACCGGGAUUGAUCUGAUGUACCCCAAUGAUCCAGCCACAGGAGAGACCCAGGGAAGAGCUCUGCCUUUGUCUUAAAGUGUGAAGAGGCCAUCUUUCUAGCUCCCAGCCAAAGGGCUUGAUUGGUUUGGGGGUAGAGAGGAGAGAGAUUUGUCCGUGGAAGAUCUAGGGCUUGGCUCAUAGGGCCCUGGGGCAUCUCCCCUCUAGAUGCUAGGGCCUGGCCAGAUUUGCCUGCUUCGCAACAGGCCUUCCAAACAACAAAAUCCCAAGCAAAUUUAGGGUUGGGAACAACUGGGAUUUGUGUUUUGGUUUUGUUUUUCAUUAGAAGGUAGAGAGGUGCUCCACUCAAGGAGGUUCUGGGUCACUUGUUGUUGCUGUGCGACCUCAAACUCCAAGGCAGCAACACCCUGGGCUGCAGAGACACUGCUCUGACAGCGUCUCUCUGCUGUGAAGGCCAGCUCUACCAGCCUAGUACCACCAAGAGGGAAACAGCCUGGCAACUCUCAGGGCCUGGCUUAGAAUUAGGAGAAUGGAACAGAAGUGGCCUGGACAUCGGUCCCAGCGGUGGCUUUGAAGGCUCCACAAGGAUGAAUCAGACACUGCAGCUGUGUCAGAAGCAGGAACACUGAUGGGGAUGCCCAGAAGUCUGAGGUUCCUGGGCACGGCAGUAAGUUACAGAAGAACUUUAUCAGGAGCCUUAGAAACCGAGUUGUGUGUUCA